RNAcentral lists this long non-coding RNA (262 nucleotides) under Homo sapiens (human). RNAcentral describes it as "HSALNT0388170". Lineage: Eukaryota; Metazoa; Chordata; Mammalia; Primates; Hominidae. The record is from RNAcentral.
ACGGAGCCUUGAGAACGAGUGGCCGAGGGGACCCCUGCGGCCCUGCGCGCCUAAGGGAGGACCUGACUCCUUUCAGAAUUAGCAUUUCUUCCCCUUCGUGGGUGCUCUUGAGUUCCAAAGAAAAGGAAGAGAAGCCUUCAUUGAGCAGCUUCUUCUGCCUUAGGGACUGUGCUAGGGGGUAGAUCGACCUUAGGGGAAACAAUCCCCGCUUAUUAGAGGAGGUUUUGGAUCAGGGUUUGCUUUAUUUGAAAUUUAACAAAUA